RNAcentral lists this microRNA (24 nucleotides) under Equus caballus (horse). Its description in RNAcentral is "eca-miR-8959". The record is from miRBase by way of RNAcentral. Lineage: Eukaryota; Metazoa; Chordata; Mammalia; Perissodactyla; Equidae.
UUCGAAUCCUGAGGUCGCCUCCCC